RNAcentral lists this ribosomal RNA (522 nucleotides) under uncultured bacterium. RNAcentral's name for it is "bacterial SSU rRNA". It matches the Rfam family "Bacterial small subunit ribosomal RNA", at positions 777 to 1297 of the family's 1533-position model. The record is from RNAcentral.
AAUAGAUACCCAGGUAGUCCAUGCCGUAAACGUUGGGAACUAGAUGUAGGGCCUGUUCCACGGGUUCUGUGUCGUAGCUAACGCAUUAAGUUCCCCGCCUGGGGAGUACGGCCGCAAGGCUAAAACUCAAAGGAAUUGACGGGGGCCCGCACAAGCGGCGGAGCAUGCGGAUUAAUUCGAUGCAACGCGAAGAACCUUACCAAGGCUUGACAUAUAGAAGAACACUGCAGAGAUGCAGGACUCUUUGGACACUUCUAUACAGGUGGUGCAUGGUUGUCGUCAGCUCGUGUCGUGAGAUGUUCGGUUAAGUCCGGCAACGAGCGCAACCCUCGUCCUAUGUUGCCAGCACGUAAUGGUGGGAACUCAUGGGAUACUGCCGUGGUCAACACGGAGGAAGGUGGGGAUGACGUCAAAUCAUCAUGCCCCUUAUGUCUUGGGCUUCACGCAUGCUACAAUGGCCGGUACAAAGAGCUGCGAUACCGCGAGGUGGAGCGAAUCUCAAAAAGCCGGUCUCAGUUCGGU